CCCGUCACGUCAUGGGAGUUGUCAAGGCGUGAAGUCCGUGGGCUGACCCGCGCAAGCGGGAGGCAGCGGCCGAGCGCCGGGGCAGCGACUGGGACG
Molecule: ribosomal RNA, 96 nt
Filed under: uncultured bacterium
Lineage: Bacteria
Description: partial 16S ribosomal RNA
Source: RNAcentral